UACGUAGGGUCCGAGCGUUGUCCGGAAUUAUUGGGCGUAAAGGGCUCGUAGGCGGUCUGUUGCGUCGGGAGUGAAAACUUACAGCUUAACUGUGAGCGUGCUUCCGAUACGGGCAGACUUGAGGUAUUCAGGGGAGAACGGAAUUCCUGGUGUAGCGGUGAAAUGCGCAGAUAUCAGGAGGAACACCCGUGGCGAAGGCGGCUCUCUGGGACGGUACUGACGCUGAGACGCGAAAGCGUGGGGAGCGAACAGG
RNAcentral lists this ribosomal RNA (253 nucleotides) under uncultured bacterium. RNAcentral's name for it is "partial 16S ribosomal RNA". It matches the Rfam family "Bacterial small subunit ribosomal RNA", at positions 524 to 776 of the family's 1533-position model. The record is from RNAcentral.